GCUCAAGGACUGGCAUACCUGCACCAAGACUGUACACCUCAAGUUAUCCACCGAGAUGUGAAAUCGUGCAACAUACUUCUAAAUGCAAAUAUGGAUGCGCACCUUUGCGACUUUGGCCUUGCGAAAAACAUUCAACCUACCAGGACUCAUACCUCUACGUUUGUGCUGGGGACAAUAGGAUACAUCGAUCCAGAGUACGCUCAAACUUCUCGCCUAAAUGAGAAGUCUGACGUCUACAGCUUCGGUAUUGUGCUGCUGGAGCUUCUCAUGGGAAAAAAGGCUGUUGAUGAUGAAGUGAAUUUACUCGAUUGGGUACGUCUUUUAUCAGAGUUGAAGCUUAAAUCUUACAUGCUCGGCUUUGAUCGUCAUUCUGGGAAAAAAAAACAAAAACGCCUUCAAGAAGGCCAACUAGUAAUGAUUUGAUCAUACUUCUUUGUUGGAAUUCCCAAGUCCUCUUAGAAGCUCCUCACGUUUCUGUUCCACAUGACUAAUGUCGUUGUCUCUCAGGUAAGGUCCAAAAUUGAACAGAAGAACUUGCUGGAAUUCGUGGACCCAUAUGUGCGAUCAACUUGCCCAAGCAUGGAUCACCUUGAGAAAGCGCUGAAGCUAGCGUUGUUGUGUGCGAAGCAAACACCUUCACAACGACCUACCAUGUACGAUGUGGCUCAAGUGCUGAGCUCGCUGCUACCAGUGGUGUCACCUCGCAAACCUCCCAGUUAUCCUUCUCCAGGUUCCAAGCACCGGCGUUACGUCGACACAUAUAGCGCCAAGCCAGCCGAGGGCAUGAUUGCCAGU
RNAcentral lists this long non-coding RNA (795 nucleotides) under Physcomitrium patens. RNAcentral describes it as "long non-coding RNA (PPAT_LNC001368)". The record is from RNAcentral. Lineage: Eukaryota; Viridiplantae; Streptophyta; Bryopsida; Funariales; Funariaceae.